This 584-nucleotide ribosomal RNA is filed under the name Russula sp. YM882. RNAcentral describes it as "eukaryotic LSU rRNA". The stretch from base 190 to 343 matches the Rfam family "5.8S ribosomal RNA". The record is from RNAcentral. Lineage: Eukaryota; Fungi; Basidiomycota; Agaricomycetes; Russulales; Russulaceae.
UGACCCCCCUUUUCGAGGUCGUGCACGCCUUGAGCGUCCUUUCAAACAAUCCACCACACACACCCCUUUUGUGCAUCACCGCGUGGGCUCCUUUGGGUCGGUUCGAUCCGAGUGGGGCUUGCGCUUUUUCACACAAACGCCCUUUGAAUGCAGUGUAGAAUGUCCUUUGCAAUCAUAUGCGAUCAAUACAACUUUCAACAACGGAUCUCUUGGCUCUCGCAUCGAUGAAGAACGCAGCGAAAUGCGAUACGUAAUGUGAAUUGCAGAAUUCAGUGAAUCAUCGAAUCUUUGAACGCACCUUGCGCCCCUUGGCAUUCCGAGGGGCACACCCGUUUGAGUGUCGUGAAUUCCUCAACCUUCUGCAUUUCUUUGAUAGCAGAAGGCUUGGACUUUGGAGGUUCUUGCUGGCCUCUCCUUCUAGAAGCCAGCUCCUCUUAAAUGGAUUAGCAGGGUCUGCCUUUAGCUGAUCCUUGACGUGAUAAGCCAUUUGUACGUCUCGGAUUUGACUCUUUUGAGACCUGCUUCUAAUCGUCCGAGUCGCCCUUUAUUAACGGGGCGUACUUUGGACCCACGAACCCAUUGAC